CCCUCUUAGCUGAGGGCAGAGAGCCUAAGGUUCAAGGGAGCAGAGGGGAGUAUCUGGAAGUCCUCAGCAUGGUGAAUGAAACAAGUUCUUCCUCUGGAGGUGGAUAGCAUUCUUUUUGAUAUGUCUCUCAGAAUUGUCCUGGAUCAUUAUAUUACUUACCUUUGCCACAAACAAAGCCAAUAACUUGGUGUCAUAAAAUCCUAAUGACGCUGCAAGAUCCUGGGGACAUGUGCAUAUGAAAAUGACUCUGAAGGAUGGGGAUGCCUCUGCUCUGUCUUACCUUGGAUGCAGACAGUUCGAGCAACAUUAUCACCAUCAUUAAGAACUGGAAAGGACCUUGAAGACCACCUGGUCCAACACCCUUUAUUUCAAAGACGAGGAAAUAGACCCGAGAGAUUAAGGUCCAAGCAGCUCUCUCACCAUGUGGGCAAGCAGAAGAGCCAAAACUUUCCAUGUGUGGAUUUUCAAAUCUUGCAUCUGUCUCACAACUGAAGGCAGAGAUAAAUUCCUUCAAGCAACUGGAAAAUCCAUAAUUGAUAUGAAGCAUAAGUUUCAAGGUGGAAGAGUGCUAAGGGUGCUGAGGAUGGAAGUAUAAAAAGUGAAACAAUCCCUACCCACAAAGAGCUUACACUGUAUUGGGGAUAAAUAAGCUACACUAUCUUACCAAUGAUGACAUCAUGGAUAUCUCAAGGAUGUGUAUUGACAAGAAAUUUAUGAGUUGGUUUUAUAGCAUGAGUGAAGAAUGGAUAGCCUGAGUUGCAUUGAUAGUCCCAAAAUACCAGAGGAAGGCCAAUAUAUUGUGGAAAUAUGCUGUGGAGAAUUUAUGGACAAAAAUCACCAAAUAUGAGGUGAUGGAAAAAAGAAAUUGAAGGGAUUAAAAUAGGCAAUGAGGUGAUUAAACUAUCAUUCUUUGCAUAUGAUAUGAUGGUCUACUUAAAGAUCCUAGAGAACCAACUAAAAAGCUAGUGGAAAUUAUCAACAACUUUAGCAAAGUUGCAGGAUACAAAAUAAAUCCACAUAAAUCAUCAGCAUUUCUAUAUAUCUCCAACACAACUCAGCAGCAAGAGUUAGAAAGAGAAAUACCAUUUAAAAUCACCCUAGACAAUAUAAAAUAUUUAGGAAUCUAUUUGCCAAGACAAGCACAGGAAUUAUAUGAACACAACUACAAAACAUUUUCCACACAACUAAAACUAGAUCUAAAUAAUUGGAAAAACAUUAAUUGCUCAUAAAUAUAAAUAGCUCAAGCUAACAUAAUAAAAAUGACAAUCCUACCCAAGUUAAUUUAUUCAGUGCCAUACCGAUCAAACUACCAAGAAACUUUUUUAUUGAAUUAGAAAAAAUUAUAACAAAGUUCAUUUGGAAGAACAAAAGAUCAAGAAUAUGAAGGGAAAUAAUGAAAAAAAAAUGUGGAAGAUGGUAGUCUGCAGUACCAGAUCUUCUUAAAAUGUACUAUAAAGCAAUGGUCAUCAAAACAAUAUGGUACUACUAUCUAAGAGACAGAGGGGAGGAUCAAUGGAAUAGACCUGGGGUAAAUGUUCUCAGCAAUAUAGUAAAUGAUAAACCCAAAGAUACCAGUGUUUGGGACAAGAACCUAGUGUUUGACACAAUCUGUCAGAAAAAAUUGGAGAACAGUAUGGGAGUGAUUAGGUUUAGAACAACAUCUCACACCCUAUACCAAGAUAAAUUCAGAAUUGGCAAACAACUUAAAUAUAAAGAAGGAAACAAUAAGUAAAUUAGGUGAAUAUAGAAUAAUAUACCAGUCAGAUCUAUAGGAAAGGAAAGAAUUUAAGACCAAGCAAGAGAUAGAGAAUAUUAAGAGAUGUAAAAUGAAGAGUUUUGAUUACAUUAAAUUAAAAAGGGUUUGUAUAAACAAAACCAAUGUAACCAAAAUUAGAAGGAAACAAGCAAAUUGGGAAAAAAUCUUUAUAACAAAAACCUCUGACAAAGGUCUAAUUUCUCAGAUUUAUAAGGCGUUAAAUCAAUUGUACAAAAAAAUCAAGCCAUUCCCCAAUUGAUAAAUCGAGGCACAUGAAUAGGCAGUUUUCAGAUAAAGAAAUCAAAACUAUCAAUAAGCACAAGAAAAAGUGGUCUGAAUUUCUUAUAAUUAGAGAUAUGCAAAUCAAAACAACUCUGAGGUACAACCUCACACCUAGCAGGUUGGCUAAUAUGACAGCAAAGGAAAGUAAUAAAUGUUGGAGGGGUUGUGGCAAAAUUGGGACACUAAUGCAUUGCUGGUGGAGUUGUGAAUUGAUCCAACCAUUCUGGAAGACAAUUUGGUAUUAUGUCCAAAGGGCUUUAAAAGAAUGCCUGCCCUUUGACCCAGCCAUACCACUGCUGGGAUUAUAUCCUAAAGAAAUAAUAGGGAAAAUACUUGUAUAAAAAUAUUCAUAGCCAUGCUCUUUGUGGUAGCAAAACACUGGAAAAUGAGGGGAUGUUCUUCGAUUGGGGAAUGGCUGAAAAAAUUGUGGUAUCUGUUGAUGAUGGAAUACUAUUGUGCUGAAAGGAAUGAUGAACUGAAGGAAUUCCAUGUGAACUGGAAUGACCUCCAGGAACUGAUUCAGAGUGAAAGGAGCAGAACCAGGAGAACAUUUUACACAGAGACUGAUAGAUUGUAGCAUAAUUGAAUGUAAUGGACUUCUCUACUAGCAGAAAUUCAAUGAUCAAGGACAAUUCUGAGGGACUUAUGAAAAAGAACACUAUCCACAUCCAGUGAAAGAACAGUGGGAGUAGAAAAACUGAAGAAAUACAACUACUUGAUUAAAUGGGUUGAGAGGGAUAUGACUGGGGAUGUAGACUCUAAACCAUCAUUCUAUAGCAAAUAUUAAUGAUAUGGAAAUAGGUCUUGAUCAGUGAUACAUGUAAAACCCAGUUGAAUUGUUCAUUGGCUACAGGAGGGGGGAAGGAGUAGAGAAGGGAAAGACCAUGAAUCAUAUAACCAUGGGAAAAAUAUUUUAAAUUCAUUAAAUAAAUUAAAAAAAAAACAA
Molecule: long non-coding RNA, 2984 nt
Organism: Monodelphis domestica (gray short-tailed opossum)
Lineage: Eukaryota; Metazoa; Chordata; Mammalia; Didelphimorphia; Didelphidae
Source: RefSeq, a predicted model, not a curated record